CCGGUUCUGGGCUCCUUGGGAACAGAUGCUCUGGGUCUGCCAAUUGUUCAAGAAAAAGUUCCAGAGAAUCAAACUGGCCUGAAGGGGGAGGGCAAGCUGGAACCUGUGUCCCAGGAACAGAACAUGAAACAAAAAUCAGUCCAUUCCCCCCUUGAAUUGCUCUCAUAACCACCAAGAGUUGGAAGCUCCUUACCGGAGAGAGAGUGUUGCUUUGUGUUUCAAAAAUGAGCGGAGGUGCCUGCAGGCGAGUUGGUGAAGCCGCUGAAUUCAAGCAGAUGCGGGUAAAGGCACUAGCUGGGAAGGGAGAGGUGUUCUCUGCUUAGACCGUUCUGAGGAAUUCCACAGCACCCAUGCUGCCCCGAGGCUAAUAAUGGUGUGUGUGUGUGUGUGUGUGUGUGUGUGAGAGAGAGAGAGAGAGAGAGAGAGAGAGAGAGAGAGAGAGAGAGAGACCUCUACAGAGCUAGUCACCUGAGAUCUCCACAUUUCCUCAAACAUUGUUCCUUUGGGUGAUCGUGCCCAUUUCAGAGAUGGAAAAUCCGAGGCCCAGUCCAUGCGAUGGUAAGUCAGGGAUAAAAACCAAGAAUUGGAUUCAAGACUGAAGGAUAAAACUGGCCUGGGAUGUUUUGAGGACUGUUUUGAAAGGAAGAAAAAAAAA
Molecule: long non-coding RNA, 655 nt
Filed under: Marmota monax (woodchuck)
Lineage: Eukaryota; Metazoa; Chordata; Mammalia; Rodentia; Sciuridae
Source: RNAcentral